AAAAAGGCAAAUCCUGGGUUUCCGUGUCAACGUUUGACUGUCCGUCUUAUAUGAUUUUUUUUAUAAUUAGUAUUUCCAUUGUUGUUAGAUGAUAAAACAUGAUUAAUACUUUGUGCGUGAUUUAUCUUUUUAAUUUUUUCAUAAUUUUUUCAAAUAAGAAGGACGGUCAAACGUUGGACACGGAAACCAGGGUUUGUCUUUCU
Molecule: microRNA precursor, 203 nt
Filed under: Oryza sativa Japonica Group (Japanese rice)
Lineage: Eukaryota; Viridiplantae; Streptophyta; Magnoliopsida; Poales; Poaceae
Description: MIR812 microRNA precursor family
Rfam family: MIR812 microRNA precursor family
Source: Rfam by way of RNAcentral